GGGGGACCUUCGGGCCUCUUGCCAUCGGAUGUGCCCAGAUGGGAUUAGCUAGUAGGUGGGGUAACGGCUCACCUAGGCGACGAUCCCUAGCUGGUCUGAGAGGAUGACCAGCCACACUGGAACUGAGACACGGUCCAGACUCCUACGGGAGGCAGCAGUGGGGAAUAUUGCACAAUGGGCGCAAGCCUGAUGCAGCCAUGCCGCGUGUAUGAAGAAGGCCUUCGGGUUGUAAAGUACUUUCAGCGGGGAGGAAGGGAGUAAAGUUAAUACCUUUGCUCAUUGACGUUACCCGCAGAAGAAGCACCGGCUAACUCCGUGCCAGCAGCCGCCGUAAUCAGGAGGGUCAAGC
This 349-nucleotide ribosomal RNA is filed under the name Escherichia coli. Its description in RNAcentral is "bacterial SSU rRNA". It matches the Rfam family "Bacterial small subunit ribosomal RNA", at positions 194 to 539 of the family's 1533-position model. Lineage: Bacteria; Pseudomonadati; Pseudomonadota; Gammaproteobacteria; Enterobacterales; Enterobacteriaceae. The record is from RNAcentral.